AUUGAACGCUGGCGGCGUGCUUUACACAUGCAAGUCGGACGAGUGGCGAACGGGUGAGUAACGCAUCGGAACGUACCGAGUGAUGGGGGAUAACUGUCCGAAACGGUAGCUAAUACCGCAUACUAUUCGAGCGGCCGAUGUCUGAUUAGCUGGUUGGCGGGGUAAAGGCCCACCAAGGCGACGAUCAGUAGCGGGUCUGAGAGGAUGAUCAGCCACACUGGGACUGAGACACGGCCCAGACUCCUACGGGAGGCAGCAGUGGGGAAUUUUGGACAAUGGGCGCAAGCCUGAUCCAGCCAUGCCGCGUGUCUGAAGAAGGCCUUCGGGUUGUAAAGGACUUUUGUCAGGGAAGCGGUACCUGAAGAAUAAGCACCGGCUAACUACGUGCCAGCAGCCGCGGUAAUAC
Molecule: ribosomal RNA, 406 nt
Filed under: uncultured bacterium
Lineage: Bacteria
Description: partial 16S ribosomal RNA
Rfam family: Bacterial small subunit ribosomal RNA
Source: RNAcentral